UACGAAGGGACCUAGCGUAGUUCGGAAUUACUGGGCUUAAAGAGUUCGUAGGUGGUUGAAAAAGUUAGUGGUGAAAUCCCAGAGCUUAACUCUGGAACUGCCAUUAAAACUUUUCAGCUAGAGUGUGAUAGAGGAAAGCAGAAUUUCUAGUGUAGAGGUGAAAUUCGUAGAUAUUAGAAAGAAUACCAAUUGCGAAGGCAGCUUUCUGGAUCAUUACUGACACUGAGGAACGAAAGCAUGGGUAGCGAAGAGG
This 253-nucleotide ribosomal RNA is filed under the name uncultured Pelagibacterales bacterium. RNAcentral describes it as "partial 16S ribosomal RNA". It matches the Rfam family "Bacterial small subunit ribosomal RNA", at positions 524 to 776 of the family's 1533-position model. Lineage: Bacteria; Pseudomonadati; Pseudomonadota; Alphaproteobacteria; Candidatus Pelagibacterales. The record is from RNAcentral.